AGCAGCCGCGGUAAUUCCAGCUCCAAUAGCGUAUAUUAAAGUUGUUGCAGUUAAAAAGCUCGUAGUUGAAUUUCGGGAUUGACGUGAUGGUCAUGCCUUAAGGGGUAUGAACUGUCACAGUUGAUUUCUCACCUUCUGGAGAAACUUGAUGUCCUUUAUUGGGCGUCUUGCGGAUCCAGGACCUUUACCUUGAAAAAUUAGAGUGUUUAAAGCAGGCAUUUUUGCUCGAAUACAUUAGCAUGGAAUAAUAGAAUAGGACGGCAUGGUUCUAUUUUGUUGGUUUCUAGGAUCACCGUAAUGAUUAAUAGGGAUAGUUGGGGGCAUUAGUAUUCAAUUGUCAGAGGUGAAACUCUUGGAUUUAUUGAAGACUAACUACUGCGAAAGCAUUUGCCAAGGAUGUUUUCAUUAAUCAAGAACGAAAGUUAGGGGAUCGAAGACGACCAGAUACCGUCGUAGUCUUAACCAUAAACUAUGCCGACUAGGAAUCAGACGAUGUUAAUUUUUUAAUGUACUCGUUUGG
RNAcentral lists this ribosomal RNA (520 nucleotides) under uncultured Glomeromycotina. Its description in RNAcentral is "SSU rRNA". It matches the Rfam family "Eukaryotic small subunit ribosomal RNA", at positions 569 to 1083 of the family's 1831-position model. Lineage: Eukaryota; Fungi; Glomeromycota. The record is from RNAcentral.